GCUGCACCCACACCCGUGGAGGAGAGAGGAUGGUGAAGGAUAGGAAUCGCCGGGCCUGGUCCAGCAUCCUGAAAAACUUUUUCGGGAUGUUGGAUCAGACCCGGCGAACCCUGUCCAGACCCGGGUCUUCCUGUGUGGCACUCCAACAGCGAUAUCACUCGGCCAUCCGGCCGCCCAUAUUUUUUAUAAGGAAACGUGGCUGGCUGUUUGGAUAUCCCUUUGGCAUUCGAAUCGUUGUGCCGAUUCCCAUAAGUUUGGUAUCAUUAAAACGAUCUAAUCCUCGGAUUUCUGCAAAAACCAAGAUUUUUUAUCGUUUUUAAUAAUUCAAAAAUUAAGGAGG
This 340-nucleotide long non-coding RNA is filed under the name Androctonus crassicauda. Lineage: Eukaryota; Metazoa; Arthropoda; Arachnida; Scorpiones; Buthidae. The record is from RNAcentral.